AUGUCUGCCCUGGGCAUGGCAAGGACCCGUCAGCAUAACUUCGCAAGUCCUCACUCGCCUGGGUCAACUUACCUGCCUGCGCGGACAGCUGGAUGCUCCUACAGGGUUGGAAAGUUGGAUGUUCCUACCAGAGUCCCGACUUCUCAGCCUGGGAGCUGUGUGCUGUGGGAUGACAACGCCACAAAGCAGCAAUUUUAAUCUCUUUUGUCCACCUCUGUAACCCCACACAUGUCUAUUAGAGCUUGGCCCUCGAGAGUCUCAAUAAAAUAUUUGUUGAAUAAAUGAAUGGAUGAUAUAAAGUGACUGGCGCUCAGUAAGUACCCCAUCAUGGGGUAGCUAUUGCUAAUUUAUUAUUGUGAUUAAAAACUCUGUCUUGGGAAUCCAACUGAAAGCAGUAUACUUAGGGAGGGAGAAAUUUAGCAUCAUGUGGAAUGCUGGCAUUCUGGCUGGGAAAUCCUGUCGACUCCAUUUACUAGUUGUGUGAUCUGGAAGAAGUGACUUCACUUUUCUAAGGCUGUUUCCUCACCUGUAAAAUGGAGAUAAUCACAGUACCUCCCAGGUAGAAUGCAAAGGUAGGAUAAGAUGGUAACAGUAAAGCAUUUAGUAGAGUUCCUGCCACAUAAUGAAUGCUCAAUAAACAAUGAUCAGCAUUCCUCAUUAUAGUAGUACUCCUCACACUAGAGGUGACAUCCAAGUCAAUUAAACCAUUGCUAAGCACUCACAUAUGUCUGGGUCCAGCAGGCUCAAUAAAUGUUUAUUGACCUCCCUCCGUGAGCUCCUCAAGGAAAGAGAUUGUGCUUACAUUGUCCUGAUUUUGGCCUUCAGUAGUUAGACUGAGACAUGCUCAAAAAAUCACAUUCUGGACUUAAAUAUGAGUAAAAACCUAGAACAGCUACUAGAAUCAUAAUGUCCGUGGCCUACUAGGCGCCAGGCACGGUGUUGGAUGCUGGAGAUAUGGCAACAAGCUUAAAACAAACAUGGCGGCUACUCCUUUCAGGCUGGUGAAACUUAGCAGAGUUGACUGACUUUGUGUCAAUCGUUGCACAGACAGAUGGAACAUUGCAACUGAGAAGUGUAUCACAACAGAGAGGGGCACAGGGCUCUCGGGUAUAUAAUGUGGGCCUGGAGAAGAUGGGGUUGACCUGGGCUGGGCUUGAGGAGGGAAGAGCUGAGCACUGCGGAAAGAAGAGGUCUUAGCUAAGCUGAGGGUAGGGGAAGUGUUCUCAGCAGAAAAAAUAGCAGAUGCGAAGGUCUCGUGAUGGGGGAGCAUAUGAGCUAAAGGAACUGAAAGAAGGCCUAGUGACCCCAGUACAGUGAGCUGAGGACAGGGGCCCCGGGGAGAAAUCAACUGGGAAAGUAAGUCAGCACUUUGGAAAUUAAGUGGGCCACGUAUAUGGUAAAGCAGAAAAAGUGUGCAACCUAGGAUCCAACAGUUCCAGUUCUAGGAACAUUCUAGAAAAACAGCCACAAGGGCCCCGGGAGGCAUGAGCGAGGAUGUCAGCCCGCGCUGCAUUAUAUGCAGUCUCAAAAAAAUGGGAAACAACCCAACUGUUCGUCAACAGGAGAGUGGUAAAAAUUGCAGAAUAUGUUUUCCUCAGAUUCCUCAGGAAAGGCUGAAUGAAAAGUUAACGUAGUACUGGGAUGCUUGGUUAAGUGUCUGCCUUCGGCUCAGGUCAUGAUCCCAGGGUCCUGGGAUCGAGCCCCACAUCGGGCUCCCGGCUGGGCAGGAAGCCUGCUUCUCCCUCUCCCUCUGCUGCUAUGUGGGCUCUCUCUUGGCUCUCUCAAAUAAGUAAAAAUAAAACUUAAAAAAAAAAAAUUAAAAAUAGGGCAACCUGUUGGGACCCUUUUCACUCUUGACAGCCUUUUCUGUAUCUUCACUUAAUAAACUUCUGUUGAUUUACUCACUCUGUGUUGUCUGAGAGAUUCAUUCUUCGACUCCAUGAGACAAGAACCUAGGUGUCCCGCUUCAUCUCGGUGCAGAAACCUGGGAUCACUUCCAGCGAAGGGUAAGUAAAAGUGGGCUCUUUUCUUUCCUGGGAGACAUCUCUCCCUUAGAUGACCUUUUCUCCGAAACAGCAAAACUGGGCACCUGCUGGCCAAUUAAAGGUGAAUAGUGUGGCCACCAGGCUUAAGUCUCAGGUGACAGGCUUCUGGCCAAAGUUUGGUUAAUCCCCCUUCCUCAAAAGAAGGGAAUGUUGGCCUAACCCUACCCAGUUCUGUUUUCUGUGCAUUGGCUUUUCUUCAAUGGCUUGCUCCCACCUCAGGGACUUUGCCUGGAGUAGGGCCCUUCCAGUCUCUAGUGGUCAGUAUUUAAAUUCCCUGGUUAGCUUUCUAUAAAAGACCAACCCUAAAGGCCCUCACUGGCAACCCUGUUGGGACCCCUCUCACCUUUGAGAGCUUCAUCUGUAUCUUCACUUAAUAAACUUCUAUUGUUUUACUCACACACACAAAAAUAAUAAUAAUAAAAAUUUACAAAUAAAAAAUAAAGAAAUAUGGAACUUCACAAGCAGUCAUCUUUUUUUUUUUUUUUUUUUUUAANNNNNNNNNNNNNNNNNNNNNNNNNNNNNNNNNNNNNNNNNNNNNNNNNNNNNNNNNNNNNNNNNNNNN
RNAcentral lists this long non-coding RNA (2607 nucleotides) under Mustela putorius furo (domestic ferret). RNAcentral describes it as "lncRNA (ENSMPUG00000031312.1)". Lineage: Eukaryota; Metazoa; Chordata; Mammalia; Carnivora; Mustelidae. The record is from RNAcentral.